GUCUGUCAAGUCGGAUGUGAAAUCCCCGGGCUCAACCUGGGAACUGCAUUCGAAACUGGCAGGCUUGAGUCUUGUAGAGGGGGGUAGAAUUCCAGGUGUAGCGGUGAAAUGCGUAGAGAUCUGGAGGAAUACCGGUGGCGAAGGCGGCCCCCUGGACAAAGACUGACGCUCAGGUGCGAAAGCGUGGGGAGCAAACAGGAUUAGAUACCCUGGUAGUCCACGCCGUAAACGAUGUCUACUUGGAGGUUGUGCCCUUGAGGCGUGGCUUCCGGAGCUAACGCGUUAAGUAGACCGCCUGGGGAGUACGGCCGCAAGGUUAAAACUCAAAUGAAUUGACGGGGGCCCGCACAAGCGGUGGAGCAUGUGGUUUAAUUCGAUGCAACGCGAAGAACCUUAC
Molecule: ribosomal RNA, 397 nt
Filed under: Salmonella enterica
Lineage: Bacteria; Pseudomonadati; Pseudomonadota; Gammaproteobacteria; Enterobacterales; Enterobacteriaceae
Also listed under: 1 other name
Description: bacterial SSU rRNA
Rfam family: Bacterial small subunit ribosomal RNA
Source: RNAcentral